This 3156-nucleotide long non-coding RNA is filed under the name Homo sapiens (human). RNAcentral's name for it is "long independently transcribed non-coding RNA 2773, transcript variant 2 (LINC02773)". The record is from RNAcentral. Lineage: Eukaryota; Metazoa; Chordata; Mammalia; Primates; Hominidae.
AGCUGUCCCCGGGCUGCCUGGGAGUCACUGGGGAGUCCUAGCCCGCCCUUGGGCCUAGGGCUCCCUGAUGCGGCCUCCACUCUUCGCAGGGCCAGGGGGCGAGGAAGGAGGAGGGAGGGAAGAGGGAAGCUGGGGAGUGGGAGAGCGUCCUCCACGACCGCUUGGGUCCUCCGCGGGGCAGCCUCGGGGAGGGUGGCUGCAGGGCCCGGAGUCGCCUGGAUCGCAGCGCCAUCUCGUGGCUGCUGGCAGGUCUGCCUUGGGCCCUCUUGGCACAAGGCAAGGAAACAGGAGCUCUUCCCAUCAGUGACAGGUGCCCGCCGGCCCGCACCCAGGAGAAUGCUCCAGUGUCACCAGUGACUCCUGCUCCCACAUCUGCCUACAGGAAGCCCUCUUGGAACAAAAGCAUCUCACUUCUGGGAGGCAUCAAGUCAAGGGAGAAGCAGUGAUGUUUUAGUAUCCAGAAAGUGGAAAUAACCCAAAUGCCCAUCAACAGCAGAAUGAAAUUGUACUAUAUUCACACCAUGGAAUAUUGUAUAGCAAAGAGAAUGAAUGAACUAUUAACAGAAAAGACAUGGACAAAUCUCAUAAACAUGAUGCUGAAAGAAACCACAGUCAAAAAAGAAGAUGCUUCCCAACCUUUUGCAGACCAUGGCAUACGCAGAAAAUGACAACAUCGGAAUGGCACACUGGCAUACCAGUUGGGGAUCCUUGCAGUCAAUGCUGACUGGACUCAUCCUUCAGCCGCCCCCAAGAAGAGAGAGAUCAAUACCUUGGCACAUCUGUGGGAAAGCUCCCAUUAGAGAGUGUGGGGAAGACACAGGCCUCCACAACACAUUUCAGGUUCUCUAAACUGGCAAAGGGGAAGAGUCUGGGCUUCCUUUGCCCUUUUGUUCUCAAAGAGCCCAGCUGUGCACACCCCUCACCCCUGCACUAUAGCUCCCAUUUGGGUAGUGAAAAAUCACAGGACUCAGGGGAGUUAUGCAGCAUUCGGGAAUGGAGACCUGGAAAGCCACACACUCCUCCUUGCUUUCCUGUGAGCCUCUCUUCUUGCUGUCCCCUUUACAACCAACAGUCCCUGCAGGGGGAAGACACUCUGCUUUAGUCAGUUCCACCUCCCUUCCAGAUCUCAUCCUCCUUUCAGCCUAAUUUUCCUCACACUGUCAUGCUCCUUCCCACUGCUCGCCCCCCACCCCCUACUCUCCUCCAGCACAUCACACAUUGCGCCUGGGCACACUGAGCUUGUCUGCCAUCUAUGAAGAGGCCCAUGUCACCCAAGCCCUUCUCUUUCCCUGUCAUGCCAUAGCCUCUUCCAGGAGCGCUCAGCCUGCUGUUUCUGCUCAGACCUCCCCUCCUCUGCAAAGCCUCCUUCUGCGUGCUGCCCGAGAGCCAUCCCCCACUUGGGUUUGUGUUACUGCUGUGUAUGGCAGCAUCUUCACUGUGCCUGAUUUCCCGUCUUGGCCCAUCGUAGGUGCUCAACAAUUGUUUCUCAAAUGACCAGCGCCUGCAGAGGGACCCUGACAUGAACUCCACCCCACCCCGACUCUUGGCAGUUACUCACUGUCCCCUUGAGUCGGGAUCCCAGCCCCUCAGGGGACCUGUCUUGCAGCCAUUCCACGCUCUGUCACCCCACUGCCAGGAGACUAGAGCCACACUGCCUGGAUGACGCUCAUCUUUACCAGCUCGCAGCUCUGCCAGCUGCCUGCUCAGGGGUGGCCGCCAGCUGAGGGAUUGAGCUGAUUAUAGGUGAAUCAGCACCAGGCUGAUUGUGGUGUGAAAAAGGGGAAGGGUGACUGUGUCUUAGCCUCAAUCCUGGCUCCCCUCCUUCCAGCCCUGACCUGCAGUAACAGCACAGGGCCACCAGAGGCUCUAUUGGGCGACUCAUGCCCCGCGGAGAAAGGCCCAGUAGGAGAGCAUCUGACCCAGUUCCCAGCAGAUGAGAAAGGAAGAAGAGUUCAGGAGGCUUCUACUCUCAGAGGUCUCCAGCACUGAAACCCCGCAGCCGCACCUGGCUGCCUUAUCCUUGUGUUUUGCCCCUCAUGGGUCUAGAAGCUGUUGUGUUACACCUUAACAUCUUCCUCCUUGCUUGCCAUGAGCCCCUCUGCUUGCAGCCCCCUUUACAGAACAACAGUCAUGGUAGAGGGAAGAUGUCUCCACUUUUGUCAGUUCUGCCUCCUUUAGGAGAGUGUCAGGCCUAACCCAUGUGUGCUCUGUCUUUCAGGGCAUGGAAAAGACUAUUGUCCUGUUUCGUCUUUUCAACACCUCUUGACUCUCUCCCCCUGGUUUCCUAACAGCCAGCUAGGUUCAGGGCCUCCCAUCUCUGGCCAGGAUUAGUGCAAUGGCUUUCUGAAGGGUCCCAGGCUCCAGGGAGCCCCUUGCCCAUCAAGUCUCUACCCUGGAGCCAGACAGCCCUUACUUCCAUCAGACAUCAGCCUCCAGUGGCUCCGAAAGGCCAGGCAUCCACACAGCACCCCACGGCCCCAAGAACUGGCUGCUUGAUUUUCCUGCCCUGUGUCCCUCCUCUCCUUGGCCCUCUACCCAGCAAUCACCCCAAAACACUGUGAUGUUUCAAGCCUUUGUACUUUGCACACAUUCUUCUCCAUGGCCUAAUUCCCUCUCUCCACCCCUCACUCCACACCUCCUCCACCUUUACCCUUUCUCCCCAUUCUUUCUUCACCGGGCACAGCCCUACUUAUCCUUCAAAACUGCCACUUCCUCUGCGAAGCCUUUCCUGACCCGUGUCCCAGAAUCCCUCCUCUGAACAAAUCCUGUUCCCUAAACAUGCAUCUCUCAUUGUAUCUGUCACUCAAGGGUUGCAAUAAUUACACACACGCCUGUCCUUUGUCCUCCACUGGCUCUGUACCUCCAUGUGGGACCCAUGGCCAGCACACAUUGGUGGUGCCCGAAAGCUGUUGCACUGGAGUUGUUCCUUCUGCCCCAUCACCUCCCACCUUGAACAAGUCCUUUAGAUGACCUGAACUCCAGUUUGUUGAUCUGCAAAAUGGAGAGAUGUGAGAAUCAGAAGAGAACACGUAAUGAAAGGGUGUUAUAAACUGCUAAGGGCUGUACAAAUGUUUGUAUUGCAUUUUUGUCUUCCAGACUAGUGUUUACCUACACUUGCCUGUGUGGAAAUCAGAAGAUUAAAGGAAUGCGAUGUGA